Molecule: ribosomal RNA, 497 nt
Filed under: uncultured bacterium
Lineage: Bacteria
Description: partial 16S ribosomal RNA
Rfam family: Bacterial small subunit ribosomal RNA
Source: RNAcentral
GAUGAACGCUGGCGGCGUGCCUAAUACAUGCAAGUCGAGCGAACAGACGAGGAGCUUGCUCCUCUGACGUUAGCGGCGGACGGGUGAGUAACACGUGGAUAACCUACCUAUAAGACUGGGAUAACUUCGGGAAACCGGAGCUAAUACCGGAUAACAUGUUGAACCGCAUGGUUCAACAGUGAAAGACGGUCUUUCUGUCACUUAUAGAUGGAUCCGCGCCGCAUUAGCUAGUUGGUAAGGUAACUGCUUACCAAGGCUACGAUGCGUAGCCGACCUGAGAGGGUGAUCGGCCACACUGGAACUGAGGAACGGUCCAGACUCCUGCGGGAGGAAGCAGUAGGGAAUCUUCCGCAAUGGGCGAAAGCCUGACGGAGCAACGCCGCGUGAGUGAAGAAGGUCUUCGGAUCGUAAAACUCUGUUAGUAGGGAAGAACAAAUGUGUAAGUAACUAUGCACGUCCUGACGGUACCUAAUCAGAGAGCCACGGCUAACUACGUG